GACGAACGCUGGCGGCGUGCUUAACACAUGCAAGUCGAACGGUGAACCUCUUCGGAGGGGAUCAGUGGCGAACGGGUGAGUAACAUGUGGGCAACCUGCCCCCGGCUCUGGGAUAACUCCAAGAAAUUGGGGCUAAUACCGGAUGUUCACCGCUUCCCGCAUGGGUGGUGGUGGAAAGGGUUUCCGGCUGGGGAUGGGCCCGCGGCCUAUCAGCUUGUUGGUGGGGUAGUGGCCUACCAAGGCGACGACGGGUAGCCGGCCUGAGGGGGUGACCGGCCACACUGGGACUGAGACACGGCCCAGACUCCUACGGGAGGCAGCAGUGGGGAAUAUUGCGCAAUGGGCGGAAGCCUGACGCAGCGACGCCGCGUGGGGGAUGACGGCCUUCGGGUUGUAAACCUCUUUCAGCAGGGACGAAGCGCAAGUGACGGUACCUGCAGAAGAAGCACCGGCCAACUACGUG
Molecule: ribosomal RNA, 463 nt
Filed under: uncultured bacterium
Lineage: Bacteria
Description: partial 16S ribosomal RNA
Rfam family: Bacterial small subunit ribosomal RNA
Source: RNAcentral